GGGGAAUCUUGCGCAAUGGGCGAAAGCCUGACGCAGCAACGCCGCGUGGGGGAUGAAGGCUCUCGGGUUGUAAACCCCUUUCAGUAGGGACGAAAAUGACGGUACCUACAGAAGAAGCCCCGGCCAACUACGUGCCAGCAGCCGCGGUAACACGUAGGGGGCAAGCGUUGUCCGGAUUUAUUGGGCGUAAAGAGCUCGUAGGCGGUUCGGUAAGUUGGGUGUGAAACCUCCAGGCUCAACCUGGAGACGCCACCCGAUACUGCUGUGACUAGAGUCCGGUAGGGGAGCGUGGAAUUCCUGGUGUAGCGGUGAAAUGCGCAGAUAUCAGGAGGAACACCAGCGGCGAAGGCGGCGCUCUGGGCCGGAACUGACGCUGAGGAGCGAAAGCGUGGGUAGCAAAC
RNAcentral lists this ribosomal RNA (401 nucleotides) under uncultured bacterium. Its description in RNAcentral is "bacterial SSU rRNA". It matches the Rfam family "Bacterial small subunit ribosomal RNA", at positions 356 to 773 of the family's 1533-position model. The record is from RNAcentral.